GAUGAACGCUGGCGGCGUGCCUAAUACAUGCAAGUCGAGCGAACGGACUAGAAGCUUGCUUCUCUGAUGUUAGCGGCGGACGGGUGAGUAACACGUGGAUAACCUACCUAUAAGACUGGGAUAACUUCGGGAAACCGUAGCUAAUACCGGAUAAUAUUUUGAACCGCAUGGUUCAAAAGUGAAAGACGGUCUUGCUGUCACUUAUAGAUGGAUCCGCGCUGCAUUAGCUAGUUGGUAAGGUAACGGCUUACCAAGGCAACGAUGCAUAGCCGACCUGAGAGGGUGAUCGGCCACACUGGAACUGAGACACGGUCCAGACUCCUACGGGAGGCAGCAGUAGGGAAUCUUCCGCAAUGGGCGAAAGCCUGACGGAGCAACGCCGCGUGAGUGAUGAAGGUCUUCGGAUUGUAAAACUCUGUUAUUAGGGAAGAACAUAUGUGUAAGUAACUGUGCACAUCUUGACGGUACCUAAUCAGAAAGCCACGGCUAACUACGUG
RNAcentral lists this ribosomal RNA (497 nucleotides) under uncultured bacterium. Its description in RNAcentral is "partial 16S ribosomal RNA". It matches the Rfam family "Bacterial small subunit ribosomal RNA", at positions 28 to 507 of the family's 1533-position model. The record is from RNAcentral.